Molecule: ribosomal RNA, 525 nt
Filed under: Shigella flexneri
Lineage: Bacteria; Pseudomonadati; Pseudomonadota; Gammaproteobacteria; Enterobacterales; Enterobacteriaceae
Description: partial 23S ribosomal RNA
Rfam family: Bacterial large subunit ribosomal RNA
Source: RNAcentral
GGGUUGUGAGGUUAAGCGACUAAGCGUACACGGUGGAUGCCCUGGCAGUCAGAGGCGAUGAAGGACGUGCUAAUCUGCGAUAAGCGUCGGUAAGGUGAUAUGAACCGUUAUAACCGGCGAUUUCCGAAUGGGGAAACCCAGUGUGAUUCGUCACACUAUCAUUAACUGAAUCCAUAGGUUAAUGAGGCGAACCGGGGGAACUGAAACAUCUAAGUACCCCGAGGAAAAGAAAUCAACCGAGAUUCCCCCAGUAGCGGCGAGCGAACGGGGAGCAGCCCAGAGCCUGAAUCAGUGUGUGUGUUAGUGGAAGCGUCUGGAAAGGCGUGCGAUACAGGGUGACAGCCCCGUACACAAAAAUGCACAUACUGUGAGCUCGAUGAGUAGGGCGGGACACGUGGUAUCCUGUCUGAAUAUGGGGGGACCAUCCUCCAAGGCUAAAUACUCCUGACUGACCGAUAGUGAACCAGUACCGUGAGGGAAAGGCGAAAAGAACCCCGGCGAGGGGAGUGAAAAAGAACCUGAAAC